Molecule: long non-coding RNA, 1700 nt
Organism: Cydia pomonella (codling moth)
Lineage: Eukaryota; Metazoa; Arthropoda; Insecta; Lepidoptera; Tortricidae
Exons: 2
Source: RefSeq, a predicted model, not a curated record
UAUUAUUUAAUAAUUUACCGAGCAACAAUGUAUCUACUGCAAACAUUGAGAAACAUAAGAUACAUGACAUUACGAGGUAUGAGCUUUUUAAUAGUAACUGCCAACAAGCGUUGACAGUUACUUCAAAAAGCUCGUAUGCCGUAACGUGUGUUGUAUUACAUUGCGAGCCGAAUUAUGUUGCAUAGUUGAAAUGUUCAUUGUAUGUCUAAGCAAAAUCUAUCUCAAUGUACUUCUUAGGUCCUAUGCUAACCGCCGAUUAAAUUUUCGCCCUAUUGAAUUUACACACAGUAUUUCAAAAGUUCUAUUCAACUUUUAGAUUUAAUGUUUUCCUAAUUCGAAAUAAGAGUGCGUCAGAAUUAAUGGCGCCCUUAUUUGAAAUGACGAGCUCGAACAUUUCGUUAGAAGUUCGUUAUUUGCUUUCCUUUUAAGCCAUUAAGUAAGUACAAUUUGUUUUCUGUCAGUUACCCUUUCGGCACAACGGGUAGCUAAGUAGCUAUCAACAUCAGGCUGUGUAUUUGUAUUCCUUCCACAUUUCAAGCGGAGGCGAGUACUCGUUUGAAAAUAACAAAUAUAAGUGCACCUUCAAUUACACAUAGGCCUUACUAUGUUUGAAGACCAAGUUAUAAAGGCUUUGGCUAGGUUAAGUCGUAAGUUCGGCAAGCAAUAGAAACAUAGAGCCAGGCCUGAAGUUCUCAGUGGGCAGCAAGCGACACGGAACUACGACGCGACGCGACAAAUGAAUAAACAUUAUUGCGAGAAGUUUCUAAUAAACGAAGCAGAAAAUUUAUCACUACAAUCUUUCUUCCUUGAAAUGGUUAUUUGUGACAUUUUUAAUUACCUGUACUAAUAUAUCAUUAUAUCUUGAGGACCGGUCUGGCCGAGUGGGUAGUGAAUGGGUUACUCCCAGGUGUUAAUAAAGAAUUAAAGAUCAAUACUUGAUUAUAGUACUAGAAAAAAAACUUGGCUAAUAAUAAAAUAAACCGGUUAACUAAAACUUAAUAAUAUUUAUGUAAGUUACUUGGACACGGGUAGUCUGAUGUAAAAUUAAUGUGGAGAAGACCGUGUACCAGGCAAGACCGUCUACAAGCUCUUUCGACGCUUCUAACUCUUACGUUGGUACACAUACUCCACUUACAGGGUCUGUAAGCAGAAGGAUCAAAGCUCUUCCUUUCUGGCUAUAUAUGAGCGAAGUACGUAUAAAAAUACGAGAGUUCUUGCCCCAUGAACCCAUGAUGGAACCCAGCCAAAAAUUGAUAUGCCGGUUUUCCUCACAUUGACCUUAACCAGAUUCAUAUUAACCCUUUACCAGGCUGACAGUUUAAAAAUGACAAUCGAAUGUCAGUCUUACUCAUCGAAAAUAGAACACAUGUUUGAAGAGCCGCAUGUGGGAAAUAUAUAUCCCUUAGCCUGGUAAAGGUUUAAAUAUAAAACAUGAUAAAAACACUUAAGUCAAAAACGUAUACAUAAAAUAUUUGCCCUAUAUUCUGGUCGCUCGGUAGGGUGCCCAGAAGGCUGGGUGCAUUUCCGCGCUGGUUAACAAUGCUGAUUCUCUGGUCACCAGAAGCCUAUAUAAGGCGCUCUCAUAGAGCCACGCUAGUGCCCUAGAGUUUCAAAUUCAACCCCAAGUGCCACAAAUAUGUAGUUAAGGGUUUAAAUUCUGGAUCAAGAACAUGGAAUACUAUUCGCUAGUAAGGCCAUAG